CUCAGGAUUAACGCUGGCGGCGUGCCUAAUACAUGCAAGUCGAACGGGAAUACAUUUCGGUGUAUUCUAGUGGCGAACGGGUGAGUAAGACGUAGGUAACCCACCUGUAAGACGAGGAUAGCCAUUGGAAACGAUGGAUAAUACUGGAUAGGACAAUGGAAAAAGCAUUUUAGAUUGUUUAAAGGGAGAAAUCCGCUUACAGAGGGGCCUGCGGCGCAUUAGCUAGUUGGUAAGGUAAGGGCUUACCAAGGCGAUGAUGCGUAGCCGGACUGAGAGGUUGAACGGCCACAAUGGAACUGAGAACGGUCCAUACUCCUACGGGAGGCAGCAGUAGGGAAUUUUCGGCAAUGGGGGGAACCCUGACCGAGCAACGCCGCGUGAACGAAGAAGUAUUUCGGUAUGUAAAGUUCUUUUAUUGGAGAAGAAAGAGAAAUUUGACGGUAACCAAUGAAUAAGCUCCGGCUAACUACGUGCCAGCAGCCGCGGUAAUACGUAGGGAGCGAGCGUUAUCCGGAAUUAUUGGGCGUAAAGGGUGCGUAGAUGGUUGAUAUAAGUCUUUUGUAAAAAUGCUAGGCUCAACCUAGUAGGGCAAAAGAUACUGAUGAACUAGAGUACGGCAGAGGCAAGUGGAACUAUAUGUGUAGCGGUAAAAUGCGUAAAUAUAAGGAAGAACACCAGUGGCGAAGGCGGAUUACUGGA
Molecule: ribosomal RNA, 699 nt
Filed under: uncultured Anaeroplasma sp.
Lineage: Bacteria; Bacillati; Mycoplasmatota; Mollicutes; Anaeroplasmatales; Anaeroplasmataceae
Description: bacterial SSU rRNA
Rfam family: Bacterial small subunit ribosomal RNA
Source: RNAcentral